CCCUCCCAACACAGCUUUCUUUUAAUCAGUGGGGAACUCUGCCCGCCGGAGACAGAGGCCAAGAGGAGACAGAGGCCAAGAAAGCCUCGGAGAAACACAACCCUCCUUCCAACACCCGCCUCCUCUCUUUCCCCUCCCACCCUUGGCAAAGCCCAGCAGGACAGACAGAGACACAAGACAGACACGCGCUUGCUGAUCUCUGCCUCGGCAAGAAAGACCAGGACCCUUCUGAGAGAAGAGCGAUGGUGAUCUUGGGGAGUCCUGGGCUGCCAAGAGCUGAACUACACGUUCUCUCUGGAUCUGUUUUCUGUGAAAGCCAGAGAAAGGACUCAGGACAUGCCCAGGAGUGAGCCAGUGCCCGGAACAGCCCAAGCCCCUCCAGCAGAGAUGGACCAAAGCAAAGAGCAGGAAGUCUCUGCCAAGGCCUCUCCCUCCCCCAC
Molecule: long non-coding RNA, 440 nt
Organism: Fukomys damarensis (Damara mole-rat)
Lineage: Eukaryota; Metazoa; Chordata; Mammalia; Rodentia; Bathyergidae
Exons: 3
Source: RefSeq, a predicted model, not a curated record